This 388-nucleotide small RNA is filed under the name Histoplasma capsulatum var. duboisii H88. RNAcentral describes it as "Histoplasma capsulatum H88 hypothetical RNA". The record is from RNAcentral. Lineage: Eukaryota; Fungi; Ascomycota; Eurotiomycetes; Onygenales; Ajellomycetaceae.
AUAUGCACAAACCGCGGGGAGUCCAAACCCCCAAAAAAGGCCAACAAAGAGACGUCUGAAAUCAAACUAGGAUCGUGAAGCAAGGAUGGAAAGAAGCCGGACCUGAAGGCCUCAAGCGGAAAAUAAAAUCGUAUCCUAACGAAUUAUUCACCGGCGACCUGGGCUUCUUGAAAAAAAAUAUAUAGUUUACUGCAAAGGCAGCCAACCCCUCUCACGGUGUGAAAACCGACCCCUCACCAGACCCGUUUAUUCCAUGAGCCAUAUCCCUGUAACCAUUUAGCUAGAUCUACCCGAAGCCUUCGAACCCGGCAUAGCGUUGGCCAGUUGGCCAACAAGUGGGGCGACCUCACUCUGUGUCUGUGAUAUGAAUAUGGCUAAACGCCCACGG